AUGGCGCCUGGUGAUUCGGGUUUCACCAAGGACGGGGAGCUGAAUUCCCGUGAUAUGGUCAACCCCAUGGAGCCGUCCGUGUUUGUUGCUCACCCCACGCUCAGCUCCUGUGAUGACGAUGUUCUCUACCUGACGACCAUGACCAGCCUAGAUGACAGUAUGUCACAGGUGAUCGCUGUUAACAUGAAGGAGAAGACGGUGGAGCGAACCGCAAAAUACACCACGCAACGAGACGCCAGCAUGGCCUUCGCGUACACGCGCACUACCAUCUCUAAAUUUCUCGCUCGAGGUAUGCCUCUACCUUCUCGCCACUCUGAUAAGAAUCAUAAGAUACACAAUUUUUCAACUUGA
This 351-nucleotide ribosomal RNA is filed under the name Triticum aestivum (bread wheat). Its description in RNAcentral is "partial small subunit ribosomal RNA". Lineage: Eukaryota; Viridiplantae; Streptophyta; Magnoliopsida; Poales; Poaceae. The record is from RNAcentral.